AAUUUAUGGUGAGGGUAUAAUUUGAGUAUCCCCUUGAAUCUGUCUCAAGCUUCAUAUAAAGAUUCCCCCUUAUUCUAUUUGAAGCUUGCAAUGAGAUUUCUUAGGU
Zingiber officinale is the source of this 106-nucleotide small nucleolar RNA. Lineage: Eukaryota; Viridiplantae; Streptophyta; Magnoliopsida; Zingiberales; Zingiberaceae. The record is from RefSeq and is a predicted model, not a curated record.